GAACGCACAUUGCGCCCCCUGGCAUUCCGGGGGGCAUGCCUGUCCGAGCGUCAUUUCUGCCCUCAAGCACGGCUUGUGUGUUGGGUGCGGUCCCCCCGGGGACCUGCCCGAAAGGCAGCGGCGACGUCCGUCUGGUCCUCGAGCGUAUGGGGCUCUGUCACUCGCUCGGGAAGGACCUGCGGGGGUUGGUCACCACUAUAUUUUACCACGGUUGACCUCGGAUCAGGUAGGAGUUACCCGCUGAACUUAAG
Molecule: unclassified non-coding RNA, 251 nt
Filed under: Talaromyces sayulitensis
Lineage: Eukaryota; Fungi; Ascomycota; Eurotiomycetes; Eurotiales; Trichocomaceae
Description: sequence contains 5.8S rRNA gene
Rfam family: 5.8S ribosomal RNA (bases 1-53)
Source: RNAcentral